Non-coding RNA from Pungitius pungitius (ninespine stickleback), 1923 nucleotides. The record is from the annotation of a RefSeq genome assembly. NCBI's taxonomy places the organism in Eukaryota, Metazoa, Chordata, Actinopteri, Perciformes, Gasterosteidae.
GAGAAGCUCCCAUCAGAUCAACCUCCACACCAACAUGUUCUCUGUAGCUCUGCUGCUGCUGCUGGCCGCUGGAUGCUGUGUGAAGUGUGAGCAGUUGACGCAGCCGGCCUCUGUGACUGUGCAGCCCGGUCAACGUCUGACCAUCACCUGUCAGGUGUCUUAUGAUCUUGGCUACUACACAGCAUGGAUCAGACAACCUGCAGGGAAAGGACUGGAAUGGAUUGGAAUGAAAUAUACUGGAGCGUCAUACUACAAAGAUUCACUGAAGAACAAGUUUAGUAUCGACUUGGAUGCUUCCAGUAAAACAGUGACUCUAAACGGACAGAAUGUGCAGCCUGAAGACACGGCUGUGUAUUACUGUGUUCGCCAAAACCACGUUGGAAUAUAUCACUGUGAUGAUUACUUUGACUACUGGGGGCAAGGAACUCAAGUCACUGUGACUUCUGCCACUUCAACCAGACCGACGGUGUUCCCUCUGAUGCAAUGUGGUUCUGGGACUGGAGACACAGUCACUCUUGGCUGCUUUGCCAGCGGCUUCUCGCCCUCCUCGCUGACCUUUGCAUGGAACAAAGUGAAUGGAGCCGCCUUGACCGACUUCAUCCAGUACCCUCCAGUUCAAAAGGGAAACUUAUAUUCCAGGGUCAGUCACAUCCGAGUGAGCAGACAGGACUGGGAGGCAAAGGACGCCACUUUCCAAUGCGCGGCGACCCAUGCAGCAGGACGGGUAGAGGUCACCAUCCAAAGACCAAUUGUGGUUAUUGAAUUGCCGACUCUUAAAGUGUUGGCCUCCUCUGAUGAGGAAACCGAGGUUUCCUUCUCCUGCCUUGCCAAAGACUUUUCACCCGACGAUUAUGACAUCAAAUGGCUGAAAAACAACCAAGAAGUCCAAAACAAAAUAUUCGAAAUCAAAACCAUGACUGCUGAGGGCAGAAAGGAUGAAAAUGGAACCACACUGUACAGUGCCACCAGUUUCCUCAUGCUGCCGUCCAGCGAGUGGACUCAUGGCACUGAGUUGACGUGUCAGUUUAAGGGUAAAGGUCCAACAUUCAUGAAUUCAUCGCUGACUUACAAAGACACAGACACCUCUUGUGAGGGAUGUCCUAAACCAGAUGUGGAGGUCACAAUCGAAGGCCCCACAAUGGAGCAGAUGUUCGUAAGCAGACAAGGAACCGUGAAAUGUAAUGUCAAGGUCAACAAACCAUCAGUUCAUAAGAUUUCGUGGGAGAAUCAGCACAAACAGGCAAUAGCUGGAGUCUCAAAAUCCCCCCCCAGAGGAAGCAAAGAAAUAAGCCUUUCACUUGACAUUGAGUAUGACGAAUGGAGCCGGGGGACAAAGUUCUACUGCGUUGUUGAACAUAACGAUUGGAUUGAACCACUGAAGACGCCCUACGAAAGGAUUCCUGGAGGAGAAACUCAGCGACCUUCUGUGUUCAUGCUUCCACCGCUAGAACACACUAGAAAAGACACGGUGACCCUCACUUGCUACGUGAAAGACUUCUUCCCUCGGGAGGUUUUCGUGUCUUGGCUUGUUGAUGACGAGGAAGCAGAUUCAAAGUACAAGUUCCAUACCACGAACCCUGUAGAAAACCAAGGGACCUUCUCUGCUUACGGCCAGUUGUCUUUCAGCCUGGAGCAGUGGCAAAAGAGCGACGUGGUGUACAGCUGUGUAGUUCACCACGAGUCCGUGGCUAACACCACUAAAGCUAUCGUCAGGUCCAUUGGGUACAGAAGCUUUCAAAACACCAACCUGGUCAACCUCAACAUGAACGUCCCUGAAACGUGCAAGGCCCAGUAGAUGUUCUCCUGCCUUGCUGUGUCUUCUGCUGUUUGUUGCUUGUCAUGUGACAUUGUGUUUUGCCUUUUAAUUCAGUUAAAAAAAACUAAUAAAAACAGCUCUUUGCAACUCUGUUGAUGUUUGUCGCC